This 3257-nucleotide ribosomal RNA is filed under the name Saccharomonospora piscinae. RNAcentral's name for it is "23S ribosomal RNA". It matches the Rfam family "Bacterial large subunit ribosomal RNA". The record is from RNAcentral. Lineage: Bacteria; Bacillati; Actinomycetota; Actinomycetes; Pseudonocardiales; Pseudonocardiaceae.
AGUGGGUGCGAGCAUCUUUGUGGUCAAGUUGUGUAGGGCACAUGGUGGAUGUCUUGGCACUAGGAGCCGAUGAAGGACGUGGGAGGCUGCGUUAAGCCUCGGGGAGCUGUCAACCGAGCUGUGAUCCGAGGAUGUCCGAAUGGGGAAACCCGGCACCCGUGAUGGGGUGUCACCCGCUGGUGAAUGUAUAGCCGGUGUGGAGGGAACGCGGGGAAGUGAAACAUCUCAGUACCCGCAGGAAGAGAAAACAACCGUGAUUCCGUGAGUAGUGGCGAGCGAAAGCGGAUGAGGCUAAACCGUGCACAUGUCAAGCUGUCAGGUGUUGUGUGUGCGGGGUUGUGGGAGCCACUGUCCGGGGGCUGACACCCUCGGUGAUGCUGUGUGUGGUUAGCGGAACACGUUGGGAUGCGUGGCCGGAGUGGGUGAGAGUCCCGUACGCGAAAACUGCAUGUCAGUGUUGGUGUGGUGUUCCCGAGUAGCAGCGAGCUCGUGGAAUUCGCUGUGAAUCCGCCGGGACCACCCGGUAAGCCUAAAUACUUCCUAGUGACCGAUAGCGGACGAGUACCGUGAGGGAAAGAUGAAAAGUACCCCGGGAGGGGAGUGAAAGAGUACCUGAAACCGUGUGCCUGCAAGCCANNNNNNNNNNNNNNNNNNNNNNNNNNNNNNNNNNNNNNNNNNNNNNNNNNNNNNNNNNNNNNNNNNNNNNNNNNNNNNNNNNNNNNNNNNNNNNNNNCGUCAGAGCCCUGUAUGGGGUGAUGGCGUGCCUUUUGAAGAAUGAGCCUGCGAGUUAGUGCUACGUGGCGAGGUUAACCCGUGUGGGGUAGCCGGAGCGAAAGCGAGUCUGAACAGGGCGAGUGAGUCGCGUGGUCUAGACCCGAAGCGGAGUGAUCUACCCAUGGCCAGGGUGAAGCGCCGGUAAGACGGCGUGGAGGCCCGAACCCACCAGGGUUGAAAACCUGGGGGAUGAGCUGUGGGUAGGGGUGAAAGGCCAAUCAAACUCCGUGAUAGCUGGUUCUCCCCGAAAUGCAUUUAGGUGCAGCGUCGCGUGUUUCUCAUCUGGGGUAGAGCUACUGGAUGGCCUAGGGGGCUUACCGGCUUACCGAAGUCAACCAAACUCCGAAUACAGGUGUGUGAGAGCGCGGCAGUGAGACGGCGGGGGAUAAGCUUCGUCGUCGAGAGGGAAACAGCCCAGAACACCAGCUAAGGCCCCUAAGUGUGUGCUCAGUGGGAAAGGAUGUGGAGUCGCAGAGACAACCAGGAGGUUGGCUUAGAAGCAGCCAUCCUUGAAAGAGUGCGUAAUAGCUCACUGGUCAAGUGGUUCUGCGCCGACAAUGUAGCGGGGCUUAAGCACACCGCCGAAGCUGUGUCACUCACACAAGUGAUCGGCACCGGCCCUUCGGGGUGGGUGUCCAGUCGUGUGGGUGGGUAGGGGAGCGUCCCGCAUCCAGCGAAGCCGCCGGGGAACCGAGUGGUGGAGGGUGUGGGAGUGAGAAUGCAGGCAUGAGUAGCGAAUGCAGAGUGAGAAUCUCUGCCGCCGGAUGACCAAGGGUUCCUGGGCCAGGUUGUUCCGCCCAGGGUAAGUCGGGACCUAAGGCGAGGCCGACAGGCGUAGUCGAUGGACAACGGGUUGAUAUUCCCGUACCCGCGUGUGUGCGUCCCUGGUGAGGCAGGUGAGACUAACCACCCGCCCGGUAUCGUGGUCUCUUCGGAGGCCUGGUGCUUGGGUGCGUGGGACCUGAGCUUGUAGUAGCCAAGCGAUGGGGUGACGCAGGAAGGUAGCCCCGCCAGUCAGUGGUAAUACUGGUGUAAGCGUGUGGCCCGCAGAGCAGGGAAAUCCGUUCUGCUGUCUUCGAUGACGAGGGUGAGGCGUGAUGCAUAGCCGUUGUGGCGAAGUAGGGUGAUCCUCAGCUGCCGAGAAAAGCCUCUAGCGAGUGUACGCGUGGCCCGUACCCCAAACCGACACAGGUGGUCAGGUAGAGAAUACCAAGGCGAUCGGGUGAACUGUGGUUAAGGAACUCGGCAAAUUGCCCCCGUAACUUCGGGAGAAGGGGGGCCAAAACACCUGAAGCCCUGCGCGGGCUAGGGUGGGUUGGCCGCAGAGACCAGCGGAAAGCGACUGUUUACUAAAAACACAGGUCCAUGCGAAGACGUAAGUCGAUGUAUAUGGACUGACGCCUGCCCGGUGCUGGAACGUUAAGAGGACCGGUUAACCCUCCUUGUGGGGGUGAAGCUGAGAAUUUAAGCGCCAGUAAACGGCGGUGGUAACUAUAACCAUCCUAAGGUAGCGAAAUUCCUUGUCGGGUAAGUUCCGACCUGCACGAAUGGCGUAACGACUUUCCGGCUGUCUCAACCACAGGCCCGGCGAAAUUGCACUACGAGUAAAGAUGCUCGUUUCGCGCGGCAGGACGGAAAGACCCCGGGACCUUUACUAUAGCUUGGUAUUGGUUUUCGGUUCGGCUUGUGUAGGAUAGGUGGGAGACUGGGAAGCGGUCACGCUAGUGAUCGUGGAGUCAUCGUUGAAAUACCACUCUGGCCGGAUUGGGAAUCUAACCUCGGACCGUGAUCCGGUUCAGGGACAGUGCCUGGUGGGUAGUUUAACUGGGGCGGUUGCCUCCCAAAGAGUAACGGAGGCGCCCAAAGGUUCCCUCAGCCUGGUUGGCAAUCAGGUGUCGAGUGUAAGUGCACAAGGGAGCUUGACUGUGAGACUGGCAGGUCGAGCAGGUGCGAAAGCAGGGACUAGUGAUCCGGCACCUCCUGGUGGAAGGGGUGUCGCUCAACGGAUAAAAGGUACCCCGGGGAUAACAGGCUGAUCUUGCCCAAGAGUCCAUAUCGACGGCAUGGUUUGGCACCUCGAUGUCGGCUCGUCGCAUCCUGGGGCCGGAGUAGGUCCCAAGGGUUGGGCUGUUCGCCCAUUAAAGCGGCACGCGAGCUGGGUUUAGAACGUCGUGAGACAGUUCGGUCCCUAUCCGCCGCGCGCGUUGGAGACUUGAGGAAGGCUGUCCCUAGUACGAGAGGACCGGGACGGACGAACCUCUGGUAUGCCAGUUGUCCCACCAGGGGCACGGCUGGUUAGCUACGUUCGGAAGGGAUAACCGCUGAAGGCAUCUAAGCGGGAAGCCUGUUCCAAGAUGAGGUCUCCCACCACCAUCGAGUGGGUAAGGCCCCCCAAAGACGAUGGGGUUGAUAGGCCAGACAUGGAAGCACAGCAAUGUGUUCUCGAGUGGACUGGUACUAAUCGGCCGAGGGCUUGACCACAA